AAAUUGAAGAGUUUGAUCAUGGCUCAGAUUGAACGCUGGCGGCAGGCCUAACACAUGCAAGUCGAGCGGAAACGAGUUAUCUGAACCUUCGGGGAACGAUAACGGCGUCGAGCGGCGGACGGGUGAGUAAUGCCUAGGAAAUUGCCCUGAUGUGGGGGAUAACCAUUGGAAACGAUGGCUAAUACCGCAUAAUGCCUACGGGCCAAAGAGGGGGACCUUCGGGCCUCUCGCGUCAGGAUAUGCCUAGGUGGGAUUAGCUAGUUGGUGAGGUAAUGGCUCACCAAGGCGACGAUCCCUAGCUGGUCUGAGAGGAUGAUCAGCCACACUGGAACUGAGACACGGUCCAGACUCCUACGGGAGGCAGCAGUGGGGAAUAUUGCACAAUGGGCGCAAGCCUGAUGCAGCCAUGCCGCGUGUGUGAAGAAGGCCUUCGGGUUGUAAAGCACUUUCAGUCGUGAGGAAGGUAGUGUAGUUAAUAGCUGCAUUAUUUGACGUUAGCGACAGAAGAAGCACCGGCUAACUCCGUGCCAGCAGCCGCGGUAAUACGGAGGGUGCGAGCGUUAAUCGGAAUUACUGGGCGUAAAGCGCAUGCAGGUGGUUUGUUAAGUCAGAUGUGAAAGCCCGGGGCUCAACCUCGGAAUAGCAUUUGAAACUGGCAGACUAGAGUACUGUAGAGGGGGGUAGAAUUUCAGGUGUAGCGGUGAAAUGCGUAGAGAUCUGAAGGAAUACCGGUGGCGAAGGCGGCCCCCUGGACAGAUACUGACACUCAGAUGCGAAAGCGUGGGGAGCAAACAGGAUUAGAUACCCUGGUAGUCCACGCCGUAAACGAUGUCUACUUGGAGGUUGUGGCCUUGAGCCGUGGCUUUCGGAGCUAACGCGUUAAGUAGACCGCCUGGGGAGUACGGUCGCAAGAUUAAAACUCAAAUGAAUUGACGGGGGCCCGCACAAGCGGUGGAGCAUGUGGUUUAAUUCGAUGCAACGCGAAGAACCUUACCUACUCUUGACAUCCAGAGAAUUUUCCAGAGAUGGAUUAGUGCCUUCGGGAACUCUGAGACAGGUGCUGCAUGGCUGUCGUCAGCUCGUGUUGUGAAAUGUUGGGUUAAGUCCCGCAACGAGCGCAACCCUUAUCCUUGUUUGCCAGCGAGUAAUGUCGGGAACUCCAGGGAGACUGCCGGUGAUAAACCGGAGGAAGGUGGGGACGACGUCAAGUCAUCAUGGCCCUUACGAGUAGGGCUACACACGUGCUACAAUGGCGCAUACAGAGGGCAGCAAGCUAGCGAUAGUGAGCGAAUCCCAAAAAGUGCGUCGUAGUCCGGAUUGGAGUCUGCAACUCGACUCCAUGAAGUCGGAAUCGCUAGUAAUCGUGGAUCAGAAUGCCACGGUGAAUACGUUCCCGGGCCUUGUACACACCGCCCGUCACACCAUGGGAGUGGGCUGCAAAAGAAGUAGGUAGUUUAACCUUCGGGAGGACGCUUACCACUUUGUGGUUCAUGACUGGGGUGAAGUCGUAACAAGGUAGCGCUAGGGGAACCUGGCGCUGGAUCACCUCCUUAAACGAUGAU
This 1562-nucleotide ribosomal RNA is filed under the name Vibrio owensii. Its description in RNAcentral is "bacterial SSU rRNA". It matches the Rfam family "Bacterial small subunit ribosomal RNA". The record is from RNAcentral. Lineage: Bacteria; Pseudomonadati; Pseudomonadota; Gammaproteobacteria; Vibrionales; Vibrionaceae.